Long non-coding RNA from Hyla sarda, 441 nucleotides. RefSeq lists it as uncharacterized. Lineage: Eukaryota; Metazoa; Chordata; Amphibia; Anura; Hylidae. The record is from RefSeq and is a predicted model, not a curated record. The transcript has 2 exons.
ACUGCUCCUGCCCAUUCUUCAUCAGUGAGGGGCUGAUGCUGGACACUGUAGGGACCGAGAAUGCAAAGUCACAUACACUACUGUGACUGAUGCACUAUUUCCAGGAUGUGGAGUAGCAUUUCCGGACCUACAGCAAGACGUUGGAUGAAGACGUAGAUUUCCAGACCUAUUCCAGAAGAAUUUGGAUGAAGGCACAGCCCCUCGAAUCACGCACAUACACAGACACAUUUGCCCAAAUUCUAGAGGUAACCUCCUUUAGUAUGCCCAGAGGAAGGGCAAUACAGUAGCCAUGGAUUCCCUACAGGUUUCCUCCCCUCUGGAGGUUUUUCCUGUCCUGAGUAUUAGUUACUGUACGCUCUUUGUGAGUGAUGGAGGUUACAAAAAAUCCCCUACACAAACAUUUUUAUAUAUAAUAAAUAAAGUUCCCCUUUUUAAACCAUU